RNAcentral lists this unclassified non-coding RNA (521 nucleotides) under Zea mays. RNAcentral describes it as "misc RNA Zm00001eb432080". The record is from RNAcentral. Lineage: Eukaryota; Viridiplantae; Streptophyta; Magnoliopsida; Poales; Poaceae.
CGGAUCUUCUCCUGUGUUCGCCCCAAAACCACAAAUCGAAAGAUUUGUUGGGCAUUUCUGGGGGAGAUCUCAGAGAUCUUAUGCUAGUGUGGUGAAAACUAAGAGAGCUCCGAUCGUUGCUGUGAAGAUACAACCAAGAGGAGCUGGUCGGCAUGGAGCUGCGCGCGGUUAUGGUCGUGGUUCUGGUCGCGAUCAUGUCUGGAGGCGUAUCGAAGAUGGUGAUGUUCAGAAUCAAAGAGGUGGUCGCAGUAUUGAGGAGGUGAAUAUGGGAGAGGGGGGUGACACCUUGAAUCAAGGUAACCCGUCUCCCUGGGAAAGUCAAGUUGUCAGAUCUGAAGAAAAAAAUGAAGAUAGUUGGAAAGGAAAUCCCCAUCCUAUGGGAGAAGAUGGUCCUAAAGAUUCGCAUAUGAAAAAAGAGGUAACUCGUAGUUUUAAUCUGGAUAGAUCUGGCUGUGCUUUUUGUCACUUCAAAAAUCAUCUUACUAAGGAUUGUCGACAUCGCUUUCCUUGUGACAUUUGUG